This 549-nucleotide ribosomal RNA is filed under the name uncultured bacterium. RNAcentral's name for it is "bacterial SSU rRNA". It matches the Rfam family "Bacterial small subunit ribosomal RNA", at positions 355 to 896 of the family's 1533-position model. The record is from RNAcentral.
UGGGGAAUAUUGCACAAUGGGGGGAACCCUGAUGCAGCCAUGCCGCGUGAAUGAAGAAGGCCUUCGGGUUGUAAAGUUCUUUCGGUGACGAGGAAGGUUGGUAGGUUAAUAGCCUAUCAAAUUGACGUUAAUCACAGAAGAAGCACCGGCUAACUCCGUGCCNCCAGCCGCGGUAAUACGGGGGGUGGAAGNGUUAAUCGGAAUAACUGGGCGUAAAGGGCACGCAGGCGGUGACUUAAGUGAGAUGUGAAAGCCCCGAGCUUAACUUGGGAAUUGCAUUUCAUACUGGGUCGCUAGAGUACUUUAGGGAGGGGUAGAAUUCCACGUGUAGCGGUGAAAUGCGUAGAGAUGUGGAGGAAUACCGAAGGCGAAGGCAGCCCCUUGGGAAUGUACUGACGCUCAUGUGUGCGAAAGCGUGGGGAGCAAACAGGAUUAGAUACCCUGGUAGUCCACGCUGUAAACGAUGUCGAUUUGGGGAUUGGGCUUUGAGCUUGGUGCCCGUAGCUAACGUGAUAAAUCGACCGCCUGGGGAGUACGGCCGCAAGGUUA